GUACAUAAGUGUGGCCUUCCUUCUCGCGCUCCCACUGCUGCAUCAUUUCCGGGUCAGGUGUUUGGCUGUGCAGAGCAGCGACCAAGUGCUCCAUGUGCCGUGCUCCGUUUUAUUCCUUGGUUCUCUCAAGCGGUGGUAAGUGUCCAGUCUCUCUCUCUGUGUUAAACCAAAUGCUAUCCUGUAGCUGAUGCUAGUGUGGUCACAGGUAGAUGUCUGCUGCCGUGUGGGUCUUUCUCUCCCUCCCUCUCCGUGUGCAGGUUUGACUUUGAAAACAGGGAAUGCUCAUCAGCUGGCCGAAGUCUACAGGUGGUGAUUCACGUGACUCCACCACCAGCUGAUUGGGGCCGCUGCUGCUUUGUCUACUGCUAAACGUGCUGCUUUGUCUACUGCUAAACAUGCUGUUUUGUCUACUGCUAAACGUGCUGCUUUGUCUACUGCUAAACGUGCUGCUUUGUCUACUGCUAAACGUGCUGCUUUGUCUACUGCUAAACGUGCUGCUUUGUCUACUGCUAAACGUGCUGUUUUGUCUACUGCUAAACGUGCUGCUUUGUCUACUGCUAAACGUGCUGUUUUGUCUACUGCUAAACGUGCUGCUUUGUCUGCCGCUGCUUUCUCAGCAGCUUUGUCUCUGCUGCUAAAUGUACAGUUUUGUCUCUGCUGCUGUUUAACCUACGCGGCUUUGUCUGCUGCUGUGUCUCGGUUGCUAACUACACAGCCUACUCUCUGCUGCUAAAUAUACGGCUUUGUUUCUGCCGUGAAUUACAGUGUGUCUACUGCUUGGCUACUUGGUUGCUGGACUUUGGACUACAGUUGGCUUGCAUGGUGGAUUGCCGACACCAGACUUUUAACCUGUUUAGUUCUUUAAUUUUAGCCGAAUGACUGAGGAGUUAAUCCUUUUAGUUUGUAUUACUUUGUUUUGUUUACUUUAUCAUUUGAAUUAAGUAAAUUGUUUUGUUUUCUUUACAUUAUUAUUGUUUGAAUUAAGUAAAUUGGUUUCUUUACUUUAUUGUUUGGACUAAGUAAAUUGUUUUGUUAAGCUGAUUUUGGGAAUUAUUUCCUGUUUUAUGUUGUAGGUUUUGUUGUACAUUUUUGGGUUUAAUUCUGUUGUAACCUCCUUUUGUUUGUCCUUUCCAGUGGCUGCAGGCUGGUGGUGGUGCUGGUGACGUGGGUGGUGGUGGUCUUUCUUGUGUGCCGUGUUUCCUUUUAUUAAUUCUCCUUCCCCUUCACCUGCUCUUCCCACCAGUAGGCCUCAGCCCCUGAUUAGGUUUUUCUUUUUCUUAUUUGUGAUGCAUGCAAAAUUUUAUGGUAA
This is a long non-coding RNA of Perca fluviatilis (European perch), 1309 nucleotides long. RefSeq lists it as uncharacterized. Lineage: Eukaryota; Metazoa; Chordata; Actinopteri; Perciformes; Percidae. The transcript is spliced from 3 exons. The record is from RefSeq and is a predicted model, not a curated record.